GACGAACGCUGGCGGCGUGCUUAACACAUGCAAGUCGAACGGAAAGGCCCUGCUUUUGUGGGGUGCUCGAGUGGCGAACGGGUGAGUAACACGUGAGUAACCUGCCCUUGACUUUGGGAUAACUUCAGGAAACUGGGGCUAAUACCGGAUAGGAGCUCCUGCUGCAUGGUGGGGGUUGGAAAGUUUCGGCGGUUGGGGAUGGACUCGCGGCUUAUCAGCUUGUUGGUGGGGUAGUGGCUUACCAAGGCUUUGACGGGUAGCCGGCCUGAGAGGGUGACCGGCCACAUUGGGACUGAGAUACGGCCCAGACUCCUACAGGAGGCAGCAGUGGGGAAUAUUGCACAAUGGGCGGAAGCCUGAUGCAGCAACGCCGCGUGCGGGAUGACGGCCUUCGGGUUAUAAACCGCUUUCGCCUGUGACGAAGCGUGAGUGACGGUAAUGGGUAAAGAAGCACCGGCUAACUACGUG
Molecule: ribosomal RNA, 468 nt
Filed under: uncultured bacterium
Lineage: Bacteria
Description: partial 16S ribosomal RNA
Rfam family: Bacterial small subunit ribosomal RNA
Source: RNAcentral